Acanthosepion pharaonis is the source of this 109-nucleotide non-coding RNA. The record is from the annotation of a GenBank genome assembly. NCBI's taxonomy places the organism in Eukaryota, Metazoa, Mollusca, Cephalopoda, Sepiida, Sepiidae.
GGCCAUGUCUCGGUGAAUCACCGGUUCCCGCACGAUUACUGAAGUUAAGCUACGUUAAGCGUGGUCAGUACCUAGAUGGGUAAGCGCUUAAGAAUGCCAGGUGCUGUAA